GGGGCAGUAGCUCAGUCGCGUAGAGUGGUGGUUUGAAGAGACACAGGUCGUAGGUUCGAGUCCUACCUGCCCCA
RNAcentral lists this transfer RNA (74 nucleotides) under marine sediment metagenome. Its description in RNAcentral is "tRNA-Phe". It matches the Rfam family "tRNA". From Rfam's summary of the family: Transfer RNA (tRNA) molecules are approximately 80 nucleotides in length. Their secondary structure includes four short double-helical elements and three loops (D, anti-codon, and T loops). The record is from RNAcentral.